UACGUAGGGUGCAAGCGUUGUCCGGAAUUAUUGGGCGUAAAGAGCUCGUAGGCGGUCUGUCGCGUCUGCUGUGAAAACUCAGGGCUUAACCCUGAGCUUGCAGUGGGUACGGGCAGACUAGAGUGCGGUAGGGGAGACUGGAAUUCCUGGUGUAGCGGUGAAAUGCGCAGAUAUCAGGAGGAACACCGGUGGCGAAGGCGCCACUCUGGGCCGGUACUGACGCUGAGGAGCGAAAGCGUGGGGAGCGAACAGG
Molecule: ribosomal RNA, 253 nt
Filed under: uncultured bacterium
Lineage: Bacteria
Description: partial 16S ribosomal RNA
Rfam family: Bacterial small subunit ribosomal RNA
Source: RNAcentral